This 567-nucleotide ribosomal RNA is filed under the name Ptychogastria polaris. Its description in RNAcentral is "partial 16S ribosomal RNA". Lineage: Eukaryota; Metazoa; Cnidaria; Hydrozoa; Trachymedusae; Ptychogastriidae. The record is from RNAcentral.
AGAUCUUUUAUGGAUGAACAAUCCAACCUUUCUUAGAUUCUACUCCAAGGGGGAGAUCCAAUACAACAUCGAGGUGGCAAACAAAAGGUUUGAUUUCAUACUCUUUCCUUGUAUUACACUGUUAUCCCUAUAGUAUCUUUUAUCAUUUAAUUUAAUAGUUUUAGUAAAACUAUCAAGGUCUUUUUCCUAAGAAUUAACUUUUUAUGUAAAAACUAUGUAUUAAAAUUUUAAAUUACGUUUUUUAUAGUAAUCAGCCGCCCCAGCUAAACUAUCAAUCUAGAAAAGGAGAUAAUUUUUUAUCUUUUACUUUUUCCUAGAAAAUUAGUAAAGAUUAAUAGGGUCUUUUCGUCUUAUAAAUUUUUCUCAGAAUCUAAACUGAGGAAUUCAAUUUCUUUAGAUUUACCUUAAAAGACAAUGUAGAAAUUGUUUCACCAUUCAUUCCAGACAUCAAUUAAAUGCCAAAUUACUAUGCUACUUUAUUACCCUCACGCUAAGGCAUGUGUUUAAGGAAGUUUAUUAAUUAACUCUCCUCACUGACCAGGUCCCAUCUUAGAAUAUUCCUAAGAC